ACAGAACAAAGAAAAUCCAGUGAAUCCUUUGAAAGCUAUGCAAUUGGAUUUAAUAGUUUCAUAGUUCCCUCUUUUUGUGUUCCUGCUUAUCAGUAUCUGCUAUAAGCCUAUAACCAGUGGCUAAAUGUUUUAUUUUUCUUAUGUUUUUGCAGUAAGAGAGAGGUUAAUAAGAAAGUUCUCAAAGUUCCUGGAAUAGAGCAGAAGGUAAGACUACUCUAGAAAGUUAACGGUCCAUUUAAGUACUUAAAAGGUGAUUGUUGCAUAAUUUUAAGUAUUGAUGAUUGGUAGGCAAGGGGAUUUAAUAAACUAUCUAGAUACUGUUUUGAUCGAUAUCAUAUUUAAAAUAUGGCUCAUGGAUGAUGAUUGGUGUAUGGUUGUUCUGUGCUUUGAUAUACUAUAUUUAGCUAUAGCAUAAAUAUUUUCCCCAAAAAAAAAAAAAGGUUGAUCCGAGCACUUUUCUCAUUACAGGUAACAUUUUUCCAACACUUCCACAUCGCAGUCGUCCCAGAUUUGAGCAUUACAGGUUAGUAUUGAUGUAGCAGGUUCUGUUGUUUCCCAAAUGAAUAUGGUUUUGUUUGUAUGUUUGUAAUGCUCAUUAAAGCUUUUGUUUGUAUGGUUAUGGUUAUUGUUGCAUGACCAUUGUUCUUUUUGAAUUUAUCAGCCAAGUUAUAUGUUUUUACUAUUAGGUAACAUUUUUUUUAAAGAGCAUUAUGCCUACAAAUAAUGGGCUUCAAAUCACAAUUAUUUGUACAUGUAAAUACAAUACUGUUAAUAAUAAAUUUGUACAUGUAAAUGAGAUAAAAGUUA
Molecule: long non-coding RNA, 807 nt
Filed under: Gossypium raimondii (Peruvian cotton)
Lineage: Eukaryota; Viridiplantae; Streptophyta; Magnoliopsida; Malvales; Malvaceae
Description: long non-coding RNA (GRAI_LNC004682)
Source: RNAcentral